This 776-nucleotide transfer RNA is filed under the name uncultured cyanobacterium. RNAcentral's name for it is "partial contains 16S ribosomal RNA, 16S-23S ribosomal RNA intergenic spacer, and 23S ribosomal RNA". The stretch from base 270 to 342 matches the Rfam family "tRNA". The record is from RNAcentral. Lineage: Bacteria; Bacillati; Cyanobacteriota.
CAGGGAGACAACACAAUGAUUUUGAUGCCUGAGUGCUUUUAUUCUUAGGCCGAAAUCCUGUCACCUUAGGUCGAUCGGUACCUCAGCAUUAAGAGCAGUGAUUGAUGAGCAAUCAUCAAGAGACUGAAGGAGAUGUUCAGUUCCUAAACUUUGUCUAGGUCACACCCCAAAAGGGAUGAGACUCCUGGGCCAUUAGCUCAGGUGGUUAGAGCGCACCCCUGAUAAGGGUGAGGUCCCUGGUUCAAGUCCAGGAUGGCCCAUUCGGUGUUGGGGGUUUAGCUCAGUUGGUAGAGCGCCUGCUUUGCAAGCAGGAUGUCAGGAGUUCGAGUCUCCUAACCUCCACUGACCGAACUUGAUUCCCAUCUCCGGAUUGUUGGAGUUGAGCUCGAUUGGAGUGUGAUUUAGAUGUGUCCGCUGGAUGACCCCAGCUUCCUGUCAUUCCAAGUUUUAGGUUGAAGCCUUGAAUUUGGUUGAUAAGAUGCUGGGCUCGGAUCAAAUGAUCAAGCAAUUGAUGAUUUGAUUUGAAGUUCUAGCAGAACCUUGACAACUGCAUAGGUGAAGUCUGGAAAAACAAAGCAUCUUACAGAUGCAUUGUUUUGAGUCUGAUCUUCCGAAAGGGAGAUUGGAUCCAGAACAAUGAAAAUUCUUUUGAGCAAGAGCCGAGACUCUUGAGCGUUCUUUGAUUCGUGUCGAGCGAAUCAGAGUUUGAUCUUGUUUUUAGCAAUAAAAACUUGAGAAUCUGCUUUCAACGGCGGUAAGCGUUCAGGAGGUUAAUU